CGAACGGGUGAGUAACGCGUGAGGAACCUGCCUCAAAGAGGGGGACAACAGUUGGAAACGACUGCUAAUACCGCAUAAGCCCACGGCUCGGCAUCGAGCAGAGGGAAAAGGAGUGAUCCGCUUUGAGAUGGCCUCGCGUUCGAUUAGCUAGUUGGUGAGGUAACGGCCCACCAAGGCGACGAUCGGUAGCCGGACUGAGAGGUUGAACGGCCACAUUGGGACUGAGACACGGCCCAG
RNAcentral lists this ribosomal RNA (237 nucleotides) under uncultured bacterium. Its description in RNAcentral is "partial 16S ribosomal RNA". It matches the Rfam family "Bacterial small subunit ribosomal RNA", at positions 99 to 334 of the family's 1533-position model. The record is from RNAcentral.